RNAcentral lists this ribosomal RNA (433 nucleotides) under uncultured bacterium. RNAcentral describes it as "partial 16S ribosomal RNA". It matches the Rfam family "Bacterial small subunit ribosomal RNA", at positions 29 to 507 of the family's 1533-position model. The record is from RNAcentral.
AACGAACGCUGGCGGCAUGCCUAACACAUGCAAGUCGAACGAGACCUUCGGGUCUAGUUGCGCACGGGUGCGUAACGCGUGGGAACCUGCCCUUAGGUUCGGAAUAACUCCCCGAAAGGGGUGCUAAUACCGGAUAAUGUCUUCGGACCAAAGAUUUAUCGCCUUUGGAUGGGCCCGCGUUGGAUUAGCUAGUUGGUAGGGUAAAAGCCUACCAAGGCGACGAUCCAUAGCUGGUCUGAGAGGAUGAUCAGCCACACUGGGACUGAGACACGGCCCAGACUCCUACGGGAGGGAGCAGUAGGGAAUAUUGGACAAUGGGCGAAAGCCUGAUCCAGCAAUGCCGCGUGAGUGAUGAAGGCCUUAGGGUUGUAAAGCUCUUUUACCCGGGAUGAUAAUGACAGUACCGGGAGAAUAAGCACCGGCUAACUCCGUG